UUCUAAAAACCGGGUGCGUGUGAACAAAU
Molecule: non-coding RNA, 29 nt
Filed under: Rattus norvegicus (Norway rat)
Lineage: Eukaryota; Metazoa; Chordata; Mammalia; Rodentia; Muridae
Source: RNAcentral